AACCCGAGAGAGUAAUGGAGCCCUAAUUCAUCAGUUAACUGAAUCUGUGGAGCAAAUUUUUUUUUUUAUGUUUUAUUAUUUUUGAAUUUUUUUUAUAGUUUCAAAAGCAUAAUAGAGAAACUCCAUUUGGCUAAAAUUCAAGAAUUUGCAGCUUAAAGGUGCUGACAAUGUUUAUUCUUUUGGAAUGCCAAAGCCAAAAAAACCAGAACAUAUGCUUCAACUUCUGCAGCAAUUUAUCAAACACGCAAAACAAAUCAAACAAAUACAUUCACUUCUCAUAACUAGUGGCCCUCUCCUCCUUACUUCUCAAUGGAUCAACACACUUCUUUACAACACUCUCAUCAGGGCUUAUCUCAACAUUGCUCAGUCUCAAACAACUCUUAUCCUUUUCACCCACAUGCUCAUCCAUCAAGCUCAGCCAAACAGCCAUACUUUCCCUUCCCUCUGCAAAGCAGCCUCGUCUUUCCCGCCCCAUAUGGCUUCAUAUAUAGGCAAGAAUCUUCACUGUCAAGUCUUGAGAAGAGGGGUCUUGGGCGACCCGUAUGUGUGUACAUCUUUUAUUGGGCUGUACGCGCACGCUGGUGAACUCUGGAGUGCAUGCAAAGUUUUUAAUGAAAUUCCUGAACCGUGUGUUGUCUCGUAUAAUGCGAUGCUUGAUGCUUGUGGGAAAAAUGGAGAUAUGGGUUUGGGUUUUCUGAUGUUUUCUCGCAUGCCUUCUAGAGAUGUUUAUUCGUGGAGUAGUAUGAUUCAUGGGUAUAUGAAGAACGGGUGCUCUGAGGUUGCUGUUAAGUUUUUCGAGAGAAUGAUGGUACACAAGGAUGUGAAGCUUGGUUUAUUGAAGCCAAAUGAGGCAACUUUUGUUAGUCUUCUUUCUUCUUGCACAUUUCUCGAUGUUGGUGUGGCGUUAUAUCUAGGGAGGCAAGUACAUGCUUACAUGAUAAAGAAUGAGGAGUUGAGUGUCUUCAUGAAGACAGCAUUGAUUGCAUUUUAUGGGAAGAUGGGUUGUUUGGUAUAUGCUUCAAAGAUAUUUGAUGCAAUGGUUACCAAGCAAGUUUGUGCUUGGAAUGCUAUGAUUUCUUCCCUAGCUUUGAAUGGUAAAGAGAAGCAGGCAUUAACGAUGUACGAGAAGAUGCUUGCAAAGGGGCUGCAACCAAAUGAGAUUACCUUCGUGGCAGUUCUAUCAGCUUGUGCACGUGCCAAGCUUGUCGAUUUCUGUUUCAAAUUGUUUGAAUCAAUGUCAAGUGAAUUCGGACUUGUAGCUAAGAUGGAACAUUACGGUUGUAUGGUCGAUCUCUUAGGGAGAGCUGGGCUACUGCAGGAAGCAUAUGAUUUUAUAAAGAGGAUGCCUUUUGAAGCUGAUGCCACUGUCUUGGGUGCUAUGAUGGGUGCUUGUAGACUUUAUGGAGCUAUUGAGUUGGGAAAUGAAGUAGCACAACUAUUGCUUAAGUCGCAACCGAAUCAUUCUGGGCGAUAUGUGCAACUCUCAAGCAUUUAUGCUGGUGCAGAGAGGUGGGAUCAUGCUGCUGCCUUGAGAAAAGCAAUGUUAGAUGCUGGAAUUCACAAGGUUCCAGCCCACAGUUUUAUUUAAUAGAGCUGAUAACUGCAGCAGCUUUUAUUUGCAUAGUAGACUGCUUGGUGAUGAAAUGCCGACUCAUCAGAAUCAGCUAAAAGGAUCCUGCAUAUUGGUUUUGCUCUGAGUUUGAACCACUGCUUAAAGAAUGCUGCAGCCUUAGCAGAUAAAUGUUCAUCAAUUUUUGAGUUUGAAUUAUCUUCGAGCUCAAGCUAACAUAGCUUGACAGAUAAAGAAGAUGAUACAUUUUUUCUGGAGAUGCACAACUAACCGGUUCCCAAGUCUGUUUGGCGAGGAAAUGUGAGGAAUGCAAGUUGUGGUGGAAUUUCUCCGCCGGUUUUGUUAGAUGAGAGAUCCAAUGAUUCGAGUACAGAUAAAUGUUGCAAUGACGCCGGUUUAUGACCUUCCAAGCCAUUUUGAGAUAAGUUCAAUGUACGAAGUCCAACGAGAUCUCCAAUAAUAUUUGGUAUAUGACCUUCAAAUCUAUUCCUUGAGAAAUUGAUAAUUUUGUUCGUACUCCUCAAAACACGAACAAAAGAAAGAUCCAAUCCCUUUGUUGCAAUUGUCAAAGAAUUAUCAUACACUGAAAAAUCAACUCCUAUCAUCUGCUCAUCAUUUACUUUCAUGACAUUGAAAUUGUGAAAAACAUUUAUGGGUAAAUUCCCACUAAAUCCAUUGGAUGAGAGCAAUAAUUCGAAGUUGCGCAAACAAGUUUCGAUUCUUUGAACUUUUAAUGGGCCCGUGCAACUUAUUAGAAGCCAACUUUAAAAUCACCAAACUUGGUAAGGUUCCCAACCAUCUUGGAAAUGUGUCAUUCAACUGAUUGUUACCUAAAUUCAGAAGUUUCAAAUCUUUGCAAUUGAUCAAAGAUCGUGGAAUUUUCCCCUCUAGCUUAUUCUCAUCCAAUUUAAUAAUGUAGAGUUGGUUUCCAAAUCUAAAAGUUGUAAUUGUCCCACAAAGAUUAUUGUUGCUUAAAUCCAAAAUCCAAAGUAUUCUCAUCUCACCCAAACAUUGUGGUAUUGUUCCGUUCAAACUAUUGCUUCCCAAAUCUAGCACUAAAAGUUUUUUCAGAUUGUAGGCGGUCGAAGAAAUCUGACCACUAAGAUUAUUUUGAGAAAGGAUAAGAUAAUGCAGUAGGAGUGACUUUGGAAUAGCACCUUCCAGCUGAUUUUGUUUUAGAGCAACUACAGGCAAUGUUUUGGAGUUGAACUUCUGAAUUUUUCCACUGAAAUGGUUAUCAUUCAAGUAUAAUGCAGUUAGUGAAGGAAGGGAGUAUAUCCGGAAGGUAUAUUCCCAUUCAAGUGGUUUGAUGACAAGCUGAGUGUUUGUAGGUUUUGCAGACCACUUACAUUGGACGGAACUGAACCAGCUAGGGAAUUGGACGAAAAAUCUAGCAGUUCAAGUUGCGUUUUUUGUAGAGAAUGACGAAAAAUAUCAAAAUUAAGUAUUUUGUAGAGAAGAAAUGAAGAAUUUUUUGUUCUGCUCCUCUGUUAAGUAAUAUUGAGAUAUAUAUAAUACAAAUUCAGUGCAAUAAAAUCCGUUACUAUUGCUUUCGAGUAAGCAAUUUCAGAAA
RNA transcript from Capsicum annuum, 3143 nucleotides. It is a transcript of the gene named putative pentatricopeptide repeat-containing protein At1g10330, with no coding region annotated. The record is from RefSeq and is a predicted model, not a curated record. The transcript is spliced from 3 exons. Lineage: Eukaryota; Viridiplantae; Streptophyta; Magnoliopsida; Solanales; Solanaceae.